GCUCUGGUCAGAGAGAUAAAAAUGUACUUGCCUCAAAAGUUCGGGGUCCCGGGUUCGAUUCCCGGUCGAGGAACU
This is a non-coding RNA of Rhamnusium bicolor, 75 nucleotides long. The record is from the annotation of a GenBank genome assembly. NCBI's taxonomy places the organism in Eukaryota, Metazoa, Arthropoda, Insecta, Coleoptera, Cerambycidae.